AAAUAGGUCGUCUUAUUAAUUUCACUCAAAGAGGGCGAGUAACUCAAUUUCGCCCUCCUUGGUGAAAAAAAUGAAAAAUACCAGGACGACUCCUAUGUAUCGUCGUCUUUCAUCAUACCAAAAAUCUUAAACCCCUUUAAUCCCUCAUUCGUUUUCCCUAAAUCAUUCGUACAUAUUCAACUCUCAUCUUAAGUUAUUAGCUUCUCUCUCUUCCCCCAAAAUAUCCUCCACAAUCCUCCAUAGAUUGUUCAACAAACUAUAAUUUAUUCGAAAAUUGGUCGAAUUUGGCCAACUCGCUCGUUGUCGAGAUUGUAAGCUUGGAGGUGUGUUCGCAAAUUGCUCGAGUUCUGUUCAAAUUAGGUCCAAUUCCGACUUACUGGUAUAAUCUCUCUCUCCUAAACCUUCAACUUCACUCCCAAAUUCCCCUAAUUAGUUGAAAAUUGUUCAUAAACCCUAAUUUACUGAAUGUUAAUCAAAUUGAUUUGCUGCUUUUGUUCGUUAGCUACAUGCAUUAUCAAAAGCUACUGGUAUCAUUGACUUCUCGAGAAAUUAUACAAUUGCAAUUACUGGAGUCAUUUAUUUUGUUUGAAUGUUUCUAGUUCACCAUUAUUUACUUGAACUCAAUUUAGUUACUUACUUUUGUGUUUUUUUGCUGGUAUUUGGUUGUAUUGUUUUGCAUUAUUUGUAUAUUUAUGAUUUAUAUUCGAUGUUUUUUUUAAAAUAUUAUUUAUUUGUAUAUGUACUGAUAUGUGUUGAUUUAAAUUUCGUACAUAUGUUCCAAUUAGACAAUGAUAAUUCAGAUUUUAUUUUGUUAAAGACUAAAGUAUGAAAUUAUAUGUCCUGGAUGUAUGGAAGGAUUAAGGUAUGACCCAAUAUUGAAGAUUUGAGUUUGUAUAAUCAUGUAUUCUUAUCAGUGGUAAAAAUGAAUAAUGUUUGUCUCUCUUGGUUUAUGAGAGAAAAACCAAUAUUGAAGAUUUGAGUUUGUAUAAUCAUGUAUUCUUAUCGGUGGUAAAAAUGAAUAAUGUUUGUCUCUCUUGGUUUAUGAGAGAAAAAAAGAUGAACGAGUGUUUGUAGGACAACCCGGAGAAGCUGCAGGCAUAUGCUUUUGUCACCGAUGCAAGUUCCAUAGUGAAUGUAUUCAUUUAGGGGUGAGACUGGCAGGUUAGGGCUUAACUCUAUGUUAUCAGGAACUUGAGGCAGAGGACAAAGUGAUCAGCGUGAAGAUGAGUCUGAGGUCAUUGAAUUUAAUGUGUCUUGUUCAAAUUAACUGUACUAUUAGAUUAUAUCCUCUAUGAGUAUAGCUUAUAUCCAUGUUUUGGUGAGUUACUAUCGGUUGUGUAUCUAUUAAUUUAGUGGUUCUAAGUGCGGGAAAGAGAUAAAUACAAGCAUUUGAUUGUGGCAAUAUUCAGCAAAUAUUCAGGCAAUUGAAUGUUUGGAUCUCAUGUAAAUUUAUCAAACAAUUUGUUUAUAAACUAAAGAUGUCAACAGAAAAACUUCGUGAAAAUUGAUCUUGUUUAUCUCAAGCUAAGAAACUGAGGAGUAUAUUGUUUACGGAUGUUUAAAAAGAAACAAGAAUAUCCUCAGGGUGAAAUUGUUUUCGACGCUAUUGACUGGAAACACUAUCUGGGCGAUCAUACUUAUGUCUCAGUAGCUGAUAGUGUUUACUGGCAAGUCUGUAAAGCUUUAGUUUACGAAGUUGAUAUCUCAUUUUUGUGGCUUCCUUUACUUGAAACUUGAAUCAUGAUAUUGCUUUUGUGUUGAAUAGAUAGAGCUAGAAGGUCUUGACAUUGCAAACAAUUUAACAAGUAAAGUCCCUGACUGCACAUUCAACAAGUUAAGUUCUUUCAUACUGUUACAAUUUACAACGAUAAGUAAGAGGAAAGCAGGAAUCAUAUUUCAUGGGUGUGUUGCUGCUGUUGAUUCAGGGACAUCCUUAAUUGUCGGUCCAACGAUGAUGGUCGCAGAGAUUAAUCAUGUCAUAGGAGCAGAUUGGAUAUUCAACUCGGAAUGCAAAACUGUUGUUUCAAAAUAUGGGAUGUUUCGAUAGUAGGAGUUUGUCCCAGUGUAUUUUUCACUCUCAGUCUUUUAAUUUCUUUAAUUUCUUUAAUUUCUUUCAUGUUUAUUUGAGAAACUCUUGUAUUCUUUUCACUCAAUGUCAGUUAUAAAUUUUCUUGUUGGUC
Molecule: RNA transcript, 2180 nt
Organism: Spinacia oleracea (spinach)
Lineage: Eukaryota; Viridiplantae; Streptophyta; Magnoliopsida; Caryophyllales; Amaranthaceae
Gene name: aspartic proteinase-like
Exons: 4
Source: RefSeq, a predicted model, not a curated record